GCGACUGCGGAGGACAUUA
RNAcentral lists this ribosomal RNA (19 nucleotides) under Amylostereum orientale. RNAcentral describes it as "partial 18S ribosomal RNA". Lineage: Eukaryota; Fungi; Basidiomycota; Agaricomycetes; Russulales; Stereaceae. The record is from RNAcentral.